Molecule: RNA transcript, 1483 nt
Organism: Zea mays
Lineage: Eukaryota; Viridiplantae; Streptophyta; Magnoliopsida; Poales; Poaceae
Gene name: activator of basal transcription 1
Exons: 8
Source: RefSeq, marked provisional
AAUGAGGGAAGGAAACCGCCCCUUUCUCUGGGUCCAGGCCCACACGGCCCAACUACUUAUCCCCGUCGUCGUCCUCUAUUGUACCCGAGCUGCUCCCCUCUCCGCCCGCCCGCCGCCCACUGCCGCCUCGCUCGCCUAGGGAGACAACUUCUACUAGCUUCCUCCCCUACCGCCUGCCGCCCAAUCAGCCAUGGCGGAUCCCACUGAGAGGGACCAGUUCACGGACGACGAGGAGGAAGAAGACUACCUGGAGGACGGCGAGCAAGGCCUUGGAAGCGAGGACGAGGAAGGAGGAGGAGCGGGGGGCAAGAGGAAGCGGCUGGGAAAUACCCUGGGUGGGAUCGGCAAGCGUGGGGUGUGCUACCUCAGCCGCGUCCCGCCGCACAUGAACCCGUCGCACAUCCGCCAGAUGCUUUCCAAGUACGGCGAGGUGCUCAGGAUUUACCUCGUGCCCGAAGGUCAAGGUCAUCACAAGCAUACUAGUGUUAAAGCGAAGGCUUACUCGGAAGGGUGGAUUGAAUUUGCAAAGAAGAGUGUUGCCAAGAGAGUGGCUAAUCUGCUUAAUGGUGAACAAAUAGGCGGUAAGAAGAGAUCUCCAUUUUAUUAUGACAUUUGGAACAUUAAAUACCUCAGGAAGUUUAAAUGGGAUGAUCUGGUUGGUGAAAUGGCUGAGAAAACUCAUAUCAGAGAGCAGAAAUUAACCUUGGAGAUAGCAGCAGCAAAGAAACAACGCGAUCACUACCUGUCCAACAUUGAAAAAUCUCGCGCGUUGAAACACAUUCAAGAGCGCAGGAAAAAGAGGCAGAAGACAGAAGGAGCAGAAGCCAGUAAUGUCCCAGAAACAAAAACUGCCCGUUCAAUUCCUCAAAAGAAACCAGUUGUGGAGACAGAUGCCAAAACUAAAUCCACGCUUUCAAAAGACAUUUUGGCUGGCGUUUUCGGGGGUUCAUCAUGACCACCUCCUAUCUUUCGGCAUGGAUUGGUGCAUGCCAAACUGAAUGGAGUGCUGCAAGAUCAUCGAGUUCAUAUUCUACUUCGAAUUUUUGUAGAUGAAGUCAGUUUUUUUUUCUUGGGGGAAUCUUUGUAAAACUGAAACACAUGUUCUCUUCUAGUUGAACAAAUAUCACGAGGAACUGCCAUUGGCGUUAUCUCUUCCUUGGCUGGGAUUUUCAGUGCUUCAGCUUGCAGCUAUGCUGUGGCCUGUGGGUGCUGGAUGAUGGUAGGAAGACACAAGGGAACACGAGCGAUUGGGAUGGAUAUGCAGCCAUGCAGUGUGGGGUGAUCUGUUCUUGCCCGAGGAAUGGAACAUGAUGCUGUGAUCAUGACAUCGAGAUUGGUGAGAGAUAAGGUUGUGCAAGCUGACCACCAUGACCACCGUUUCAGAACUUGUUUCGAUAACGAGUAUUAUUAUACUUGUGUUGUAGUGGAAUUUAAACUAAUUUUGAUCCUAACCCUCUUCAACCCAUAUGUAUUAAGGAUAAUA